This 619-nucleotide ribosomal RNA is filed under the name uncultured fungus. Its description in RNAcentral is "eukaryotic LSU rRNA". The stretch from base 254 to 407 matches the Rfam family "5.8S ribosomal RNA". Lineage: Eukaryota; Fungi. The record is from RNAcentral.
AAGUCGUAACAAGGUCUCCGUUGGUGAACCAGCGGAGGGAUCAUUACCGAGUUUAGGAGGUGGCAAACCCAAUGUGAACGUUACCCAAACUGUUGCCUCGGCGGGAUAUUCUGCCCCGGGUGCGUCGCAGCCCCGGAGCAAGGCGCCCGCCGGAAAAAUCAACCAAAACUCUUAUUGUAUACACCCCGUCGCGGGUUUUUUUAUAAUCUGAGCCUUCUCGGCGCCUCUCGUAGGCGUUUCGAAAAUGAAUCAAAACUUUCAACAACGGAUCUCUUGGUUCUGGCAUCGAUGAAGAACGCAGCGAAAUGCGAUAAGUAAUGUGAAUUGCAGAAUUCAGUGAAUCAUCGAAUCUUUGAACGCACAUUGCGCCCGCCAGUAUUCUGGCGGGCAUGCCUGUCCGAGCGUCAUUUCAACCCUCGAACCCCUCCGGGGGGUCGGCGUUGGGGAUCGGCCUCCUUUCACGGGGGCCGUCUCCGAAAUACAGUGGCGGUCUCGCCGCAGCCUCUCCUGCGCAGUAGUUUGCACACUCGCAUCGGGAGCGCGGCGCGUCCACAGCCGUUAAACACCCAACUUUUGAAAUGUUGACCUCGGAUCAGGUAGGAAUACCCGCUGAACUUAA